UAGUCCACGCUGUAAACGAUGAGCACUAGUUGUGGGGAGCAUUAACCCUCUCUGUGAUGUAGCUAACGCAUUAAGUGCUCCGCCUGGGGAGUACGGUCGCAAGACUAAAACUCAAAGGAAUUGACGGGGGCCCGCACAAGCGGUGGAUCAUGUGGUUUAAUUCGAAGCAACGCGAAAAACCUUACCUAGGCUUGAAAUCCUGAGAAUUCUCCGGAAAUGGAGAAGUGCCCUUCGGGGAAUUCAGUGACAGGCGCUGCAUGGCUGUCGUCAGCUCGUGUUGUGAAAUGUUGGGUUAAGUCUCGCAACGAGCGCAACCCCUAUUCUUAGUUGUCAGCACGUAAUGGUGGGGACUCUAAGGAGACUGCCUGCGCAAGCAGAGAGGAAGGUGGGGGACGACGUCAAGUCAUCAUGGCCCUUACGCCCAGGGGCUACACACGUGCUACAAUGGAGUGCACAGAGGGGUAGC
Molecule: ribosomal RNA, 466 nt
Filed under: uncultured bacterium
Lineage: Bacteria
Description: bacterial SSU rRNA
Rfam family: Bacterial small subunit ribosomal RNA
Source: RNAcentral